This 731-nucleotide long non-coding RNA is filed under the name Mytilus galloprovincialis (Mediterranean mussel). The record is from RNAcentral. Lineage: Eukaryota; Metazoa; Mollusca; Bivalvia; Mytilida; Mytilidae.
UGGCUGUAUAUUUAUCUUAAUUAGAAAAUUCCAUCGGUGAUUUCUUCAAAUUGGCACAAAUAAUCUUUAGACAUAUUCAAGCCUAAUGUAAUUUUUAAAAAGAGGGGUCCAUGAAUUCAUUUUCAUGUUGAAUCAGUAAAAAAAUGGGUCUUUUCCUGAUAUGUAACUACUUGACAUGGCUAAAAGUAACAUUUGACAUUAGCGACAUCAUUACCUCCCCUGUUACUGUAGCGUAUACCCUUGAUAGCAAACUUGUACAUGUAUCAGCCUCUCUAUAGAUCUUGAGGAACCUUAGCUAUGAAAAAGUUAAAGUAAGUAAAGUUAUCGUUUUAAGGAGCAUAAACUAAAAUUAAUAAAAUAUUUACUCUUAUAACAAUACUUAAGCACUGUGCACAGUGUUGUAGUAAUUUAUUAGAAUGAUCUACUAAAUGGUGGAGUGAUAAUUUGCACAUCACAAUGUCAACAAGGGGAGUAAUUAUAAAUAGAAAAUGAGGGUUGGUAUGAAAGUAAACAUUAAAAAGAAUGUUAAAUAAAAUUGGUUGAAUAAUUUUUAAUCAAAUUUUGCAGAGGUACUGCUUCCAAUUGGCUUCCCUCAGAGUUACAUGCCUCUAAUUGGGACCGCUCUGCCAGGGUACUACUUCUAAUUAGCUUUUGCAGACAGAGGUAUAUAUGUACUGCUUCCAACUAGCUUCGCAACAAGACAGAGGGUGUGCUCCCAAUUAGCUUCACUA